This 493-nucleotide ribosomal RNA is filed under the name uncultured bacterium. Its description in RNAcentral is "partial 16S ribosomal RNA". It matches the Rfam family "Bacterial small subunit ribosomal RNA", at positions 28 to 506 of the family's 1533-position model. The record is from RNAcentral.
GACGAACGCUGGCGGCGUGCUUAACACAUGCAAGUCGAACGGAAAGGCCUGCUUUCCCUUGUGGAUUGCGGGUACUCGAGUGGCGAACGGGUGAGUAACACGUGAGUGAUCUGCCCCCAACUUGGGUAUAAGCCUGGGAAACUGGGUCUAAUUCCCGAUAGGACUGCAGGGUGGUGCCUGUGGUGGAAAACGAUUUUCUAGUGGUUGGGGAUGAGCUCGCGGCCUAUCAGCUUGUUGGUGGGGUAAUGGCCUACCAAGGCGGCGACGGGUAGCCGGCCUGAGAGGGUGGACGGACACAUUGGGACUGAGAGACGGCCCAGACUCCUACGGGAGGCAGCAGUGGGGAAUAUUGCACAAUGGGCGGAAGCCUGAUGCAGCGACGCCGCGUGGGGGAUGACGGCCUUCGGGUUGGAAACUCCUUUCGACCGCGAGGAAGCCACCUGGUUGGAAGGGUGGUGACGGUAGUGGUAGAAGAAGCACCGGCUAACUACGU